AGUCAUAUGCUUGUCUCAAAGAUUAAGCCAUGCAUGUCUAAGUAUAAGCAAUUAUACGGCGAAACUGCGAAUGGCUCAUUAUAUAAGUUAUCGUUUAUUUGAUAGCACCUUACUACUUGGAUAACCGUGGUAAUUCUAGAGCUAAUACAUGCUGAAAAUCCCGACUUCGGAAGGGAUGUAUUUAUUAGAUUAAAAACCAAUGCCCUCUGGGCUCCCUGGUGAUUCAUGAUAACUGCUCGAAUCGCAUGGCCUUGCGCCGGCGAUGGCUCAUUCAAAUUUCUUCCCUAUCAACUUUCGAUGUUUGGGUAGUGGCCAAACAUGGUGGCAACGGGUAACGGAGGGUUAGGGCUCGGCCCCGGAGAAGGAGCCUGAGAAACGGCUACUACAUCCAAGGAAGGCAGCAGGCGCGCAAAUUACCCAAUCCCGACACGGGGAGGUAGUGACAAUAAAUACUGAUACAGGGCUCUUUUGGGUCUUGUAAUUGGAAUGAGUACAAUUUAAAUCCCUUAACGAGGAACAAUUGGAGGGCAAGUCUGGUGAACGUUGCUGGCGCCAGAGAGAGCCGCCCCUCCGUAAACGAAGCGGCUAGUCGAGUGCUCGUGGCAGUAACGGGUGAGCACCGGCGAGACAACCUGGGUCGGGGGAGGCUAAGGGCCCCGGGCCUAUGCUAAUCCCGAGCAGAGCCGAUUUCCUACGGCCUGUGUAGAGCGCGCUAAGGUGUCGGUCCCGGGGCUCCCGCCAGCGGGAGUCCCCCGGGGCUUGAGGUACGUGCCAAUCCCCUGCGAAAGCAGGGCCCUGCGGAUUAGCACCCGUUAUGCGAAGCCGCAGGGGGCCUCCGAGCGAGGCAGUGAUCAUAUUGCUGUAAAUGGCCAGCAGCCGCGGUAAUUCCAGCUCCAAUAGCGUAUAUUAAAGUUGUUGUGGUUAAAAAGCUCGUAGUUGAACCUUGGGCCUGGCUGGCCGGUCCGCCUCACCGCGUGCACUGGUCCGGCCGGGCCUUUCCCCCUGUGGAACCCCAUGCCCUUCACUGGGCGUGGCGGGGAAACAGGACUUUUACUUUGAAAAAAUUAGAGUGCUCCAGGCAGGCCUAUGCUCGAAUACAUUAGCAUGGAAUAAUAAAAUAGGACGUGCGGUUCUAUUUUGUUGGUUUCUAGGACCGCCGUAAUGAUUAAUAGGGACAGUCGGGGGCAUCAGUAUUCAAUUGUCAGAGGUGAAAUUCUUGGAUUUAUUGAAGACUAGCUACUGCGAAAGCAUUUGCCAAGGAUGUUUUCAUUAAUCAGGAACGAAAGUUAGGGGAUCGAAGACGAUCAGAUACCGUCGUAGUCUUAACCAUAAACUAUGCCGACUAGGGAUCGGACGAUGUUAUCUUUUGACUCGUUCGGCACCUUACGAGAAAUCAAAGUGCUUGGGCUCCAGGGGGAGUAUGGUCGCAAGGCUGAAACUUAAAGAAAUUGACGGAAGGGCACCACCAGGGGUGGAGCCUGCGGCUUAAUUUGACUCAACACGGGGAAACUCACCAGGUUAACCGUCUGGGCCUGGAAUAGUGGCGAGGCCUUGGUGCCUCUCGCUUGCUAGUAUCGAAACUCAUCCGCGUGGGGAAGCCCCCGUUGUCGGGCGCGGAGCGGUCGCCGAAUGGCCGGCCGUAGUUCGAUGCGACACCAGCUGGAACAGGGGACGCCUCCCUGCGGGAAACCGCAUAGGCCAACCCUGUGGCGAGCUCAGGUUGCGCUGAGCCGUCGCAACGCGCGCUAAGCGGUGGGCCGGGGCACUGCGUGCCGAACGCAGUGGCCCCGGCUUAAGGUACGUGCUAAUCCCACGGGAAACCGUGGCUCCCCUGAGUAGGCCCGACAGCGCCGAAGCAGGGGGAGGCGGGCGGGAGCUCCCCCCGGGGCCCCCGUCCGCGUACAAGGGUUCUCGGUGGCCGUCGGGGCGUGUGCAGCGCGCCGUCGCCGCCGAGGCCCUGCUUGCCAGACACAAUGAGGAUUGACAGAUUGAGAGCUCUUUCUUGAUUUUGUGGGUGGUGGUGCAUGGCCGUUCUUAGUUGGUGGAGUGAUUUGUCUGCUUAAUUGCGAUAACGAACGAGACCUUAACCUGCUAAAUAGCCCGUAUUGCUUUGGCAGUACGCCGGCUUCUUAGAGGGACUAUCGGCUCAAGCCGAUGGAAGUUUGAGGCAAUAACAGGUCUGUGAUGCCCUUAGAUGUUCUGGGCCGCACGCGCGCUACACUGACGGAGCCAGCGAGUACUCCCUUGGCCGGAAGGCCCGGGUAAUCUUGUUAAACUCCGUCGUGCUGGGGAUAGAGCAUUGCAAUUAUUGCUCUUCAACGAGGAAUCCCUAGUAAGCGCAAGUCAUCAGCUUGCGUUGAUUACGUCCCUGCCCUUUGUACACACCGCCCGUCGCUACUACCGAUUGAAUGGCUCAGUGAGGCGUUCGGACUGGCCCAGAGAGGUGGGCAACUACCACUCAGGGCCGGAAAGUUCUCCAAACUCGGUCAUUUAGAGGAAGUAAAAGUCGUAACAAGGUCUCCGUU
Molecule: ribosomal RNA, 2525 nt
Filed under: Ophiocordyceps sobolifera
Lineage: Eukaryota; Fungi; Ascomycota; Sordariomycetes; Hypocreales; Ophiocordycipitaceae
Description: partial small subunit ribosomal RNA
Rfam family: Eukaryotic small subunit ribosomal RNA
Source: RNAcentral